This 549-nucleotide ribosomal RNA is filed under the name uncultured bacterium. RNAcentral describes it as "bacterial SSU rRNA". It matches the Rfam family "Bacterial small subunit ribosomal RNA", at positions 355 to 896 of the family's 1533-position model. The record is from RNAcentral.
UGGGGAAUAUUGGACAAUGGACGAAAGCCUGAUCCAGCCAUGCCGCGUGUGUGAAGAAGGCCUUUUGGUUGUAAAGCACUUUAAGUGGGGAGGAAAAGCUUAUGGUUAAUACCCAUAAGCCCUGACGUUACCCACAGAAUAAGCACCGGCUAACUCUGUGCCAGCAGCCGCGGUAAUACAGAGGGUGCAAGCGUUAAUCGGAAUUACUGGGCGUAAAGCGCGCGUAGGUGGUUAUUUAAGUCAGAUGUGAAAGCCCCGGGCUUAACCUGGGAACUGCAUCUGAUACUGGAUAACUAGAGUAGGUGAGAGGGGAGUAGAAUUCCAGGUGUAGCGGUGAAAUGCGUAGAGAUCUGGAGGAAUACCGAUGGCGAAGGCAGCUCCCUGGCAUCAUACUGACACUGAGGUGCGAAAGCGUGGGUAGCAAACAGGAUUAGAUACCCUGGUAGUCCACGCCGUAAACGAUGUCGACUUGGAGGUUGUGCCCUUGAGGCGUGGCUUCCGGAGCUAACGCGUUAAGUCGACCGCCUGGGGAGUACGGCCGCAAGGUUA